UGGAUGAUGUGGUUUAAUUCGAUGCAACGCGUAAAACCUUACCACCUUUGACAUGUACGAACUUACCAGAGAUGGUUUGGUGCUCGAAAGAGAGCCGUAACACAGGUGCUGCAUGGCUGUCGUCAGCUCGUGUCGUGAGAUGUUGGGUUAAGUCCCGCAACGAGCGCAACCCUUGUCAUUAGUUGCUACAUUCAGUUGAGGACUCUAAUGAGACUGCCAACGAUAAGUUGGAGGAAGUGGGGAUGACGUCAAAUCAUCAUGCCCUUUAUGACCUGGGCUACAAACGUACUACAAUGGCCGGUACAAAGAGAUGCGAAGUGGCGACAUGGAGCGAACCUCAGAAAGCCGGUCUCAGUUCAGAUUGAAGUCUGCAACUCGACUUCAUGAAGGCGGAAUCGCUAGUAAUCGCGGGUCAGCAGACCGCGGUGAAUACGUUCCCGGGUUUU
Molecule: ribosomal RNA, 446 nt
Filed under: uncultured Mollicutes bacterium
Lineage: Bacteria; Bacillati; Mycoplasmatota; Mollicutes
Description: bacterial SSU rRNA
Rfam family: Bacterial small subunit ribosomal RNA
Source: RNAcentral